This 460-nucleotide ribosomal RNA is filed under the name uncultured bacterium. RNAcentral's name for it is "partial 16S ribosomal RNA". It matches the Rfam family "Bacterial small subunit ribosomal RNA", at positions 338 to 795 of the family's 1533-position model. The record is from RNAcentral.
CCUACGGGAGGCUGCAGUGAGGAAUAUUGGUCAAUGGCCGCAGGCCUGAACCAGCCAAGUCGCGUGAGGGAUGACUGUCCUACGGAUUGUAAACUUCUUUUGUCAGGGAGUAAAGUGCGCCACGUGUGCCGCUUUGCGUGUACUUGAUGAAAAAGCAUCGGCUAACUCCGUGCCAGCAGCCGCGGUAAUACGGAGGAUGCGAGCGUUAUCCGGAUUUAUUGGGUUUAAAGGGUGCGGAGAUGGGCUUUUAAGUCAGGGGUGAAAGUUUGAGGCUCAACCGCAGAGGUGCCUUUGAUACUGGCAGUCUUGAGUACGCGAGAGGUAUGCGGAAUGCGUGGUGUAGCGGUGAAAUGCAUAGAUAUCACGCAGAACUCCGAUUGCGAAGGCAGCAUACCAACGUGCAACUGACGCUCAUGCACGAAAGCGUGGGUAUCGAACAGGAUUAGAUACCCGUGUAGUC